CCUACGGGGGGCAGCAGUGGGGAAUAUUGGACAAUGGGGGGAACCCUGAUCCGGCCAUGCCGCGUGUGUGAAGAAGGCCCUCGGGUUGUAAAGCACUUUCAGUGAGGAAGAACGCCUGGUGGUUAAUACCCAUCAGGAAAGACAUCACUCACAGAAGAAGCACCGGCUAACUCCGUGCCAGCAGCCGCGGUAAUACGGAGGGUGCGAGCGUUAAUCGGAAUUACUGGGCGUAAAGCGCGCGUAGGUGGCUUGAUAAGCCGGUUGUGAAAGCCCCGGGCUCAACCUGGGAACGGCAUCCGGAACUGUCAAGCUAGAGUGCAGGAGAGGAAGGUAGAAUUCCCGGUGUAGCGGUGAAAUGCGUAGAGAUCGGGAGGAAUACCAGUGGCGAAGGCGGCCUUCUGGACUGACACUGACACUGAGGUGCGAAAGCGUGGGUAGCAAACAGGAUUAGAUACCCGUGUAGUC
This 465-nucleotide ribosomal RNA is filed under the name Vreelandella stevensii. Its description in RNAcentral is "partial 16S ribosomal RNA". It matches the Rfam family "Bacterial small subunit ribosomal RNA", at positions 338 to 795 of the family's 1533-position model. The record is from RNAcentral. Lineage: Bacteria; Pseudomonadati; Pseudomonadota; Gammaproteobacteria; Oceanospirillales; Halomonadaceae.